MicroRNA precursor from Medicago truncatula (barrel medic), 73 nucleotides. It matches the Rfam family "MIR5272 microRNA precursor family". The record is from Rfam. NCBI's taxonomy places the organism in Eukaryota, Viridiplantae, Streptophyta, Magnoliopsida, Fabales, Fabaceae.
UUGGGUGUGAAUUGAUUUAUGUUUGGAUACGCUUAUUAAAAGUGAUUUUUAUGAGUUGAUGUUGUUUGGAUAG